This is a long non-coding RNA of Oncorhynchus tshawytscha (Chinook salmon), 526 nucleotides long. NCBI's taxonomy places the organism in Eukaryota, Metazoa, Chordata, Actinopteri, Salmoniformes, Salmonidae. The record is from Ensembl.
GGAGGCUAUAUGCAGCAGAUUCCGGUACAGAGUCAAUAUGGAGGCUAUAUACAUCAGGUUCCAGUACAGAGUCAAUAUGGAGGCUGUAUGCACCAGGUUCCGGUACAGGUACAGAGUCUAUAUGGAGGCUAUAUGCAGCAGAUUCCGGUACAGAGUCUAUAUGGAGGCUAUAUACAGCAGGUUCCGGUACAGAGUCGAUAUGGAGGCUAUAUACAGCAGUUUCCGGUACAGAGUCAAUAUGGAGGCUAUAUACAGCAGGUUCCGGUACAGAGUCAAUAUGGAGGCUAUAUACAGCAGGUUCCGGUACAGAGUCAAUAUGGAGGCUAUAUACAGCAGAUUCCGGUACAGAGUCAAUAUGGAGGCUAUAUACAGCAGGUUCCAGUACAGAGUCAAUAUGGAGGCUGUAUGCACCAGGUUCCGGUACAGGUACAGAGUCUAUAUGGAGGCUAUAUACAGCAGGUUCCGGAACAGAGUCUAUAUGGAGGCUUUACACAGCAGGUUCUGGUACAGGGUCAAUAUUGAGGCU